RNAcentral lists this small RNA (701 nucleotides) under Pan troglodytes (chimpanzee). RNAcentral's name for it is "processed transcript". The record is from RNAcentral. Lineage: Eukaryota; Metazoa; Chordata; Mammalia; Primates; Hominidae.
UUGUAAGGAAAUCUGGGCUGGGACCUCAGGAGCCUAGGCUUUCUCAGAAUUCAGUGCUUAAGGUGAUGAGUCCUUCAUUCUUAUAGAAAGAGCAUUUUAUCAAGGGCCUGCCAGAAUACCACGUGGUGGGUCCAGUCCGAGUAGAUGCCAGUGGGCAUUUUUUGUCAUAUGGCUUGCACUAUCCCAUCACGAGCAGCAGGAGGAAGAGAGAUUUGGAUGGCUCAGAGGACUGGGUGUACUACAGAAUUUCUCACGAGGAGAAGGACCUGUUUUUUAACUUGACGGUCAAUCAAGGAUUUCUUUCCAAUAGCUACAUCAUGGAGAAGAGAUAUGGGAACCUCUCCCAUGUUAAGAUGAUGGCUUCCUCUGCCCCCCUCUGCCAUCUCAGUGGCACGGUUCUACAGCAGGGCACCAGAGUUGGGACGGCAGCCCUCAGUGCCUGCCAUGGACUGGUAAGUGCAGGCUCUGGCUUCCUCUGCCCUGGCCCCUAGAGUCUCAGCUGGUAGACCUACUACCAACAGGUUCACAGAUGCACUGACAUAUGGGAGUUGAACCCCUGUGAUGUGAUGAUCCUGGCCUCCAAAGUGGUUGGCAAGAAAGUAUUUAAUAAAUAAAAGAGAUCGACUUGAGAGAUACAAAGAGUAAGGGCACUGAGGAUUCAGAGGAGGCAGACAGAACUCCAACCGGCAACAUCAGGGUGG